CAGGUGGACCCAGAGCGGACUCAGUGUCAGUUGUGUCCCUACAGCUCAGACCUCUCCCCUGUCCUGUCACCAGGUGAUUGCACAGGAACUUCAAAUUCCAAGCUGAACUUUGGCCCCACUGAACGGGCAGCUGAAGGGCCCCAGAAGGACAGAACCAGUGAAGGAGAAAGGAUGGGUGGGCAAGCGGCUGCCUGUAUCCCUGACUCGGAGCACGGCCAGCUGUGAAGUAGAGUCACCCAGAGUGCCGACCUCGGAGACGAGUGAAGUUGCCGGAUGGACCUCAGCGGACUCCUGAGGCCACAGGCUUGUCUG
Molecule: long non-coding RNA, 312 nt
Organism: Orcinus orca (killer whale)
Lineage: Eukaryota; Metazoa; Chordata; Mammalia; Artiodactyla; Delphinidae
Exons: 3
Source: RefSeq, a predicted model, not a curated record